RNAcentral lists this unclassified non-coding RNA (408 nucleotides) under fungal sp. RNAcentral describes it as "partial internal transcribed spacer region". The stretch from base 1 to 46 matches the Rfam family "Eukaryotic small subunit ribosomal RNA", at positions 1786 to 1831 of the family's 1831-position model. Lineage: Eukaryota; Fungi. The record is from RNAcentral.
AAGUCGUAACAAGGUUUCCGUAGGUGAACCUGCGGAAGGAUCAUUAACACGUAUCCAAACGUUAAACCCCCCUGUGAACCUUCAGUCGUACUCGUACGUCCGUUAGAAAAAGCAGCAAUCCCUGGUAAAUCAUCGCCGAACAGUUUUCGAUUCAGGGACGUCUGCAAGGAGCGUGCAUGUUGUGCGUGUAAGUGGCCUGGCAUCCCCAAGCAGUUAGUGUCUGAAAGUGUUACUAACGUUAGUGUCUGAAAGUGUCACUAACAUGUGUAAGGAUGACGCAGUCACGAUCGUUGGAGGCCCACACGGCCGACGACCGGGUACCCUGCUCUAUCUAUGGUGAUCCUGCGGGAAGUCCUGCAGUCGAACGCCGAAACCGAACAACUGUUAACAAUGGAUAUCUUGGUUCUC